UGAAACCCAGAAGCCUUGUCUAUGAAUCUGUGAAUCCUGGAAUAGAUAUCUAUGAAUCGAGAUUUACAGAGAAGGUUUUUGGUUAUCAUCAGAUCAAACUUCUGCAAGAUCAACAGACAAUCACUCUUGACUUUGUAACCUAAGGUUUGAUUCUGCACAGGCAGUAAAUAAAUCUUGUUAAGAUGUUGUUUUGAUUCUUCUAUUCAUAGAUCAAUAGAUUUGAUGUCUAAGUUUUGUUAAAUCAGAGAAAGCCUGAUUUGAUUUAUAAUUUUCUGUAGAGAGAUUGAUUCAUCAUCUUUUGUUUAGAAAUCUGCAAUUGAUUGAUUUAUGUUGAUUCAUGAUUCUACAAUAGAAAAGGCCUGAUUCUGUUUUGAUUCAUCCUCUGUUAUUCUCUCAUCAAGAUAACUGACUGAUUUUCUGUUAAUUACUUCUCUUCUGUUUAUGUUGAUUCAACAAACAAUUAGAAAAGAAGGUCUUGUUUUGAUCGCGUACGUUGCUUCCUUCUCAUAGAUCGCAAUCCCCUCACUCCCCCAUAUUGUUUGCUUGAUUGAAAUGCCCCCAUCUCAAUUUGCGAUCUUUCUAUUCUGUGUUUUUAAUUCAAUUAAUUCCCCGGUCUUUCUCAUUGUGGACACUGAAUUUUUUUCGUAAUAUCUUUUGUGGUGGAUAUCUCUCUUUUUUCUGAUUGUAGGAGUCAAUCUCGACUUCGGCACCUUCAACUACUCAAGGAUGAUCAAGUAGGAAUUCCAACUCCAAAUGAUGGACAGAUGGAGAGUUAACUUAGAUUGAUGGAUCGUCCUAAUUAACUUCUGAAAUCAAUCGAUUGUUCUCAGGACAACUGAACCUAUUCAUGAAAUGUUGAUGAAAGUAAUGAGGGAAAUAUUAUACAGGUUUGUCAUGAAUGAAUCGGAUUACAAAUGUGCUUUGAACUCUGUGUGAAGCACAUUAUGUGAACCUGAUAUGUGAAAGUUCACUGGUGGUUAGAAUUAAAUUAGACUGGCAGUUGCAGCGAAUGCAUACGAGGUUGAUUUGAGGAUAGUAUUUGGGGAUAUUGAGUGAUUUGGGGGAUGUUACUCGAAUAGUGGAUAUGGAAGAAAUACCUUCAAUGGGAAAUAUUUGUAAUGGGAAAGAAGAUGUCUAUCUCCUGCUUCAAUUUGCUUAUGAGUGUUACCCUUUAUUAAAGAGGCGCGGGUUGGCACUCAAGAGGUUCACUCUCUCCAUUUAGCCUGACUGGCAAGCGAACAACACUGACUUAUACUGACAAUGAAGGUAACAUACAACGAGCCAGCAAAGAUUCCCCGUAGCAGAUUUGCGUAGAGUCCAUUCAGUGAUUGAUAAAUUUGCAGAGCUUAAGGUCACCCAGAGUAGCAUACCAGGAAGUCCCAGAAGGAUAGAGAGCAUCCAGGCUCCAUGGCAGUUUAUCAGUCUCUUUCUACUCUUUGACCCACCUAAACACGAGAUGCUGAGACAAUUAGGAGGGCUCUGUGUCAAAAUGAUCAGAGAUGAUAACUGGCCAUUGGGAAAGAAACUGGCCACCAUCUGGGGAUGGUAUCCCUCAUCUGCGUUGCUAGGCCAGAGCAAGGAUGAAUCUGUUGCAGCGUUACCAGUUGAUGAACUUAUAGAGAACGCAUAUGGAUUCUGAAAACAAUAACAUGAAAGACCUUCUCUGUGAAUCAGUGACUCGUAAAUCAUCUAAGAAUCCAGAUUCACAGAGAAGGUUUUUGGGUGAUCCUCGAAUCAAAAUUCUGCACAGACACCCAAGGGGUCAAUCUCGACUUAGGGGGUGGAAUUCAUAGGCAAAAGUGACAUCUUCUGGCAAGCAAUAUGGAUGAAGAUAAGAAAGACGAGCUGUCUAUAUUAAUGCAAGAAUAAGCAUAUCAAAGAAGAAAGAAUAAAAAAGAGAUUGAAAGCAGUUGCGUAUUUAGCACACCACGUCCAAAAGAGAGAGUUUUGUUCUGCAUUGGUUUGGAUAGCUGAAGUUUGUCCAUAUUACUUGGAGGGUCACACAAGGGGAACCCUCCUCAUGAUAUGCUCCAGAAACUGGGAUUCAAUAUGAUUGGAAUUUAUAGAGAAGAAAAAUGUUAGCGACAAAUUGAGAUUCAGAUGUCUAUGAGAAAUCGUGUUUUUGCAUCAGCAAAUUCCACAGAAGAUUUUAUCCUAAAAUUUGGUCAGAAAGGUUGAAGCCGAAUGUUGUUGCCUGUAAAUGAUGUGUUUGAAGAUAGCUGGUUCUAAUAAUAGUUCUAUUCAUGCCUUUGCAUGGGCUUCAGAAUCAGAAUAUGAUGCACCAAUCUCCUAUCCGCAUCUAGAUGAGGAGAGGUUUGCCAAAGAGCGUGAUAAGAAAGCAACACACAAGAAUGCUGAUAUCAUCCUGCUUAAUCCAGACACAAGGAUGUUGAUGAUCCAUUAAGUCAGGACUGGAGAGGCUGAAGAGAUGCUUCACUCAACAUCAUUUCUUGCAGCAGUGGUGAGGCUAAGUUUAACUCAGGCUGAGAUGCAGGGGAUAUGAAGUUAAAGAGUUAAUGAAAGUGAUGGCUUGGGCAGUUGCGGAGUGAACUAGGAAUGAAGUUUGUUAGUGAAGAUGAAAAUGACACUGGAGUUGUUGAUAUGAAUGAAUGCAAGUCUGGAAGUAAGUGGUUGUUGUGGUGGACUUGAAGAUACAGGUGGUAGUGGUACUUGUUUUUGUUCUUACUUGUUUUGAUUCAAGUCAUAAUGCAAAAUAUAUUCUAAGGUUAAAGAUAACCUUAACGGUGAAUGGGAAGUGUUGCUUAACGGUGAAUGGGAAGUGUUGCUUGAGAAGAGGUAUCAAAUGUCUGGCUAUGGAGUUUAAUUGCAGGUGAAGUCUGGUGGUAUGGUGCUGUGUUCAGUUGCGACUACGAGUUAAUAUUGAAUUGGUGGAGUUUAGGUUGAGAGCACAAGGUUUUUGAGUUGAAGGUUAAUUUGAUUGCAGAACAUGACAUGUUUUCUGGGAAAAGAAAACAUUUGGAAUCGAGAACGAUGAGUUGCUUAAAUUGAGUCGAAGAAACCUAAGACGAAAA
This is a long non-coding RNA of Papaver somniferum (opium poppy), 3032 nucleotides long. RefSeq lists it as uncharacterized. Lineage: Eukaryota; Viridiplantae; Streptophyta; Magnoliopsida; Ranunculales; Papaveraceae. The transcript is spliced from 12 exons. The record is from RefSeq and is a predicted model, not a curated record.